RNAcentral lists this ribosomal RNA (254 nucleotides) under uncultured bacterium. RNAcentral describes it as "partial 16S ribosomal RNA". It matches the Rfam family "Bacterial small subunit ribosomal RNA", at positions 524 to 776 of the family's 1533-position model. The record is from RNAcentral.
UACGGGGGGAGCAAGCGUUGUUCGGAUUUACUGGGCGUAAAGGGCGCGUAGGCGGUCAGCACAAGUCAGUUGUGAAAUCUCCGGGCUUAACUCGGAAAGGUCAACUGAUACUGUGCGACUAGGGUGCAGAAGGGGCAACUGGAAUUCUCGGUGUAGCGGUGAAAUGCGUAGAUAUCGAGAGGAACACCUGCGGCGAAGGCGGGUUGCUGGGCUGACACUGACGCUGAUGCGCGAAAGCUAGGGUAGCAAACGGG